GCCCCCUUAGCUCAGUGGACCAGAGCGGGUGCCUUCUAAGCACUAGGCCGCAGGUUCGAAUCCUGCAGGGGGCACCA
Molecule: transfer RNA, 77 nt
Filed under: Chloroflexota bacterium
Lineage: Bacteria; Bacillati; Chloroflexota
Also listed under: 1 other name
Description: Chloroflexi bacterium tRNA-Arg
Rfam family: tRNA
About the family: Transfer RNA (tRNA) molecules are approximately 80 nucleotides in length.
Source: RNAcentral